CAGGGCAAAGUGAGGCAACCUCUGGGGGCCCUGCGCAGCCCCCCGGUUGGGUGUGGGGGGCUAAACUUGGGCCCCCGAAGUGAGAUCCCUGGCUGUGCUGACUGUGGGGGAGUCAUGGGGGGUGCCGGCCCCCACGUUCAUGAUUGGGGAUCCGAACGGAUAGAACCCUGUGGCAUCAGGUCAGUCCAACUCUCUGUUCCUCAACCUGAGAGCGGCCGGUAAAUGGAAAAGAGGAGGGGGGGGAAGGAUGGGAGAGAACCCUUCCCACCUAAUGCGUGUGUCUCCUUGUUGCUCCCUUUCCCAAAGCUGCAGUACCCGGCAAAGUCCUCAGGUGACUUGUGAGGCUCGUAUCCCUGCAACAGAGACUACUCCAGCUGCAGGAGUGAAUGUCGUUGUAGUGGUUGACGGAAACUGCAUCCUCCAGUAUACCCAUCGUCAGUCACCUUGCUCCUGCCUUUCGGAUGGGGAGCCUCUCUUGCCCCGGCGCCCUCCACCAACUUAUGGUGCUGUGCCCCCCAGCCCCACUCUCCCCCGUGGGCCGGCUUGCGGCCAAGAAGCUGGACCACCCCCGUCCCGCAGCAGGACCCGUGGACUCAGCGUCCGCUGUUGCACCAAAGCCUGCCUGGGCGAUGAAGAGGAACAUGCUGAACGGCACCUCCAUCGGGGGCCACCCUGCAGCCGUCUCACCCCAGUGCCCUUGCCCCGCAGCCCCUCUGGGCCGUGGUUUGGAGUGGGAUCUCUCAGUGGGGGCAGGCCAGGCGCUCGGGUGGUGAAGAUCUGGGACCAGCAGCGAUGCCCUUUGUUGGAGGAAGGGGAUGUCAUCGCCAAAGUGAAUGGGGCGGAUGUGCGCGAUCUGAGCCCCGGCGAAGUGGAGAGUGUCUUGCAGGAGCAUACGCGAACGGGAGAUGUGAUCCUUCUGGUGGAGAGGAAAGGUCACCACUCCCGAAGACAUCCCCAGGAAAACUGUUCUUUCAGACGGGAACACCUCGUGCCUGAUUCCUCUUACAAUAAAGGAGUUCCACAAGAUGCUCCUAACUCUUGGGGAGAUCCCCAAGGUGACACUUUAGCCGUGACCAGUUUUGUGGGCCCUGAACCCCGGGAUGUACUUGUCUGUCCUGCUCGUUGUUCCCAGAGGCUGAGGAGGCCCCGGCCAGCAGGAGGGGCUGGGGAGCCCAGAGGAAGCAUAGAUGGUCCCAAAGAAGAGCAAGGAGGCAGCCGUGGCAUCACCAUAGCAACGGAUGGUGGUGGUGCUGCUGGGAAAGCAGGUGAGGAGGUGGCGAAAGUGCAGAGGCUCAGGGAUGGGAAUAAACUGCCUGCUCCCCCCCCCAUUUUAAAUUUUGCACCGAGUCAUGAGCUUCAAAUGGAUUCUGUAUGUUUUAAGUAA
This 1384-nucleotide long non-coding RNA is filed under the name Pogona vitticeps (central bearded dragon). RNAcentral describes it as "lncRNA (ENSPVIG00000000843.1)". The record is from RNAcentral. Lineage: Eukaryota; Metazoa; Chordata; Lepidosauria; Squamata; Agamidae.